AGUGAACGCUGGCGGUAGGCCUAACACAUGCAAGUCGAACGGCAGCACAGUAAGAGCUUGCUCUUACGGGUGGCGAGUGGCGGACGGGUGAGGAAUACAUCGGAAUCUACUUUUUCGUGGGGGGUAACGUAGGGAAACUUACGCUAAUCCCGCAUACGACCUACGGGUGAAAGCAGGGGAUCUUCGGACCUUUCGCGAUUGAAUGAGCCGAUGUCGGAUUAGCUAGUUGGCGGGGUAAAGGCCCACCAAGGCGACGAUCCGUAGCUGGUCUGAGAGGAUGAUCAGCCACACUGGAACUGAGACACGGUCCAGACUCCUACGGGAGGCAGCAGUGGGGAAUAUUGGACAAUGGGCGCAAGCCUGAUCCAGCCAUACCGCGUGGGUGAAGAAGGCCUUCGGGUUGUAAAGCCCUUUUGUUGGGAAAGAAAAGCAGCAGGUUAAUACCCCGCUGUUCUGACGGUACCCAAAGAAUAAGCACCGGCUAACUUCGUG
This 492-nucleotide ribosomal RNA is filed under the name uncultured bacterium. Its description in RNAcentral is "partial 16S ribosomal RNA". It matches the Rfam family "Bacterial small subunit ribosomal RNA", at positions 29 to 507 of the family's 1533-position model. The record is from RNAcentral.